RNAcentral lists this long non-coding RNA (205 nucleotides) under Mytilus galloprovincialis (Mediterranean mussel). The record is from RNAcentral. Lineage: Eukaryota; Metazoa; Mollusca; Bivalvia; Mytilida; Mytilidae.
GUACGUUAAUGUGAAACGUUACAAUUUAACGUUGAGGGAACGUUUUUUUUAACGUUGUGUGGAAGUUUCGUUUUGGUUUUGUUACAAAGAAGACGUUGUAGAAACGUUGAGUAUUGGUUAUUUUUAAAACGUUACUUAACUAACAGUCUUAAAACGUUCCAACAAUGUACGUCUUUUUUGCAACAAAAAAAAGAACCCCCCCCCC